RNAcentral lists this ribosomal RNA (490 nucleotides) under uncultured bacterium. RNAcentral describes it as "partial 16S ribosomal RNA". It matches the Rfam family "Bacterial small subunit ribosomal RNA", at positions 30 to 507 of the family's 1533-position model. The record is from RNAcentral.
AUUGAACGCUGGCGGCAGGCCUAACACAUGCAAGUCGAACGGUAACAGGAAGAAGCUUGCUUCUUUGCUGACGAGUGGCGGACGGGUGAGUAAUGUCUGGGAAACUGCCUGAUGGAGGGGGAUAACUACUGGAAACGGUAGCUAAUACCGCAUAACGUCGCAAGACCAAAGAGGGGGACCUUCGGGCCUCUUGCCAUCGGAUGUGCCCAGAUGGGAUUAGCUAGUAGGUGGGGUAACGGCUCACCUAGGCGACGAUCCCUAGCUGGUCUGAGAGGAUGACCAGCCACACUGGAACUGAGACACGGUCCAGACUCCUACGGGAGGCAGCAGUGGGGAAUAUUGCACAGUGGGCGCAAGCCUGAUGCAGCCAUGCCGCGUGUAUGCAGAAGGCCUUCGGGUUGUAAAGUACUUUCAGCGGGGAGGAAGGGAGUAAAGUUAAUACCUUUGCUCAUUGACGUUACCCGCAGAAGAAGCACCGGCUAACUCCGUG